RNAcentral lists this ribosomal RNA (586 nucleotides) under uncultured Glomeromycotina. Its description in RNAcentral is "LSU rRNA". It matches the Rfam family "Eukaryotic large subunit ribosomal RNA", at positions 204 to 637 of the family's 3401-position model. The record is from RNAcentral. Lineage: Eukaryota; Fungi; Glomeromycota.
CAUGGAGGGUGAGAAUCCCGUUCGGUUGACCUUAUGACGUUUUACGAUACGCUUUCAAAGAGUCGAGUUGUUUGGGAUUGCAGCUCAAAAUGGGAGGUAAAUUUCUCCUAAGGCUAAAUAUCGGCGAGAGACCGAUAGCGAACAAGUACCGUGAGGGAAAGAUGAAAAGAACUUUGAAAAGAGAGUAAAAUAGUACGUGAAAUUGUUGAAAGGGAAACGAUUGAAGUCAGUCGUACCGACGGAAAAUCAGCUCUUCGAGUGCGAACUUGUGGGCGUACGUGAGCUUUAACCGGCCUCGUUGUUUGCGAUGUUUGUGCUCUUUGGGUGUACUUUUUCGUAUGGUUGGCCAACGUCAGUCUCGGUUAUCAUAAAAUGAUUGGAGGAAUGUAGCUUCGAUCUUGUAUUGAAGUGUUAUAGCCUCUGGUAGAUGUGGUAAACGAAACUGAGGAUUGCAACGAAUACCCUUCGGGCUAUCCGUCUGACCUCUGAAAGUUGCUUGGGUGCCGAAAGCUUGCUUACGGUCAUCCAUGACGACGGUCAAAAGGUUAGAACGUGAUUAUAUUCGUUAAGGAUGUUGACGUAAUGG